AUAAAAUAAUUAUGUUUUUGGAAAUUUAUUAUAAAUUUAUUUUACAUAUAAAUUUUAGUAUAUAAUUUUAAUUAUUUAAAUAAUAAUUAAUUUAUUUUUGUAGUAAUUAAUAUUAAAAAUUUAAGAAAUUAAGAUUUAGUAAUAUAAAAAUUAAUAACUAAUUUUGUGCCAGCAGUUGCGGUUAAACAAAAGUUAAAUUAAAUUAUUUCAGUAUAUAAUAAAUAAUUAAUUUAUUAAAAUAAAUAUUAAAUUAUUAAGUGAAAUUUUAAUUUAAUUAAAUUUUAUUUAAAAAUUAUGAUUUAAUAAAUUUUAAUAUAAACUAGGAUUAGAUACCCUAUUAUUAAAAAUUUAAUUUAUAAUACUAAAAUAGUAAAUAAUAAUUUAUUGAAACUUAAAUAAUAUGGCGGUAUUUUAGUUCAUUUAGAGGAAUCUGUCUAAUAAUUGAUAAUCCACGAAUAAAUUUACUUAAUUUAUAAUUUUGUAUAUCAUUGUUAAAAAAAUAUUUUUUAGGAAAAAUAAUAUUUAAAAAUUAUAAUAAAAAAUUAAAUCAGAUCAAGAUGCAGAAUAUAAUUAAGAAUAUGAUGGAUUACAUUAAAUAUAUUUAUAUGAAUAAUUUUAUUGUAAUAAAAAUUUGAAGGUGGAUUUAAAUGUAAUUUUAAUUAGUUUAUUAAAAUGAUUAAAAAUUAAAAUAUGUACAUAUUGCCCGUCACUUUCAUUUAAAAAUUGAAAUAAGUCGUAACAAAGUAGAGGUACUGGAAAGUGUUUCUAGAAAGA
RNAcentral lists this ribosomal RNA (774 nucleotides) under Junonia vestina livia. RNAcentral describes it as "small subunit ribosomal RNA". The record is from RNAcentral. Lineage: Eukaryota; Metazoa; Arthropoda; Insecta; Lepidoptera; Nymphalidae.